Molecule: ribosomal RNA, 292 nt
Filed under: uncultured bacterium
Lineage: Bacteria
Description: partial 16S ribosomal RNA
Rfam family: Bacterial small subunit ribosomal RNA
Source: RNAcentral
GUGCCAGCAGCCGCGGUAAAACGUAGGGGGCUAGCGUUGCCCGGAUUCACUGGGCGUAAAGCGGGUGUAGGCGGUUCUUUAAGUCGGAUGUGAAAUCCAGCGGCCCAACCGCUGAAUUGCAUCCGAUACUGGGGAACUUGAGGACGGUAGAGGUCGGUGGAAUAUCCGGUGUACCGGUGAAAUGGACAGAUAUCGGAUGGAACACCAGUGGCGAAGGCGGCCGACUGGGCCGAUCCUGACGCUGAGACCCGAAAGCUAGGGUAGCGAACCGGAUUAGAUACCCUGGUAGUCC